CAAAAUUCCCUCCCUUCCCUCGUUUUCUACUCCCCAACCCCAACACUCUCACGCACACAAUACACUCUCACGCACACCAAACUUUUCUCCAUAUGUAUGUAUAUCUAUCAAAACCCUCAUUUCCCUCUCUAUCUCAAAUGCUAAAACCUCUCUACAACUCCUUUUGGAUUUUGUUAAUUUGAUUGAUUUAAUAACGUAAUAAUCAAUAAUGGCUGGGCGUGGAGCGCCGAACCGUGACGCGGCAGCGACUCCUCAGGCGGCGGGGUCCAAUGGCCAGAUCCUCCACCACCAGCAGACGCCGCCAACGUCGAUCAGGCGCCAUCUCCCGUUCGCGUCCAUGAAGCCGCCGUUCGUUUCCCCAGAUGACUAUCACCGUUUCUCCACUCCUGCACGCGCCGCCACCUCCGCCGAUCACCCUCCCGAAGCUAUUGUCGUCAAGUCUCCUCCCUUGAAGCGGAAGAACGGGUAUCAAAGUAAUGAAGUUGAGUCUAGUGAGUGGACAGCAAGUCCAGGAUAUAGUGAUGUCGCUAACAGCCCUUUCCGUACACCUGUAUCUGCUAAAGGAGGAAGAACAAAUUGUCGUUCAAAGGUCACCAAGAACAACAGAUCUGUACCUUCAACCCCGAUUGCUAAUGUUGAUUCUCCAUCCUCUCUUACUCCUGCUGGCAGCUGCCGCUACGACAGCUCCUUGAGUCUUUUGACAAAGAAAUUUAUCACUUUAAUAAAGCAUGCAGAGGAUGGUGAACUUGAUCUAAACAAAGCAGCUGACACUUUGCAGGUGCAGAAGAGACGGAUAUAUGACAUAACUAAUGUCCUUGAGGGGAUUGGUCUUAUUGAAAAAAAGCUAAAGAACAGAAUUCGCUGGAAGGGACUUGAUCCUUCAAGACCUGGAGAAGUGGACAAUGAUGCCACUCUUUUGCAGGCGGAAAUUGAGAAUCUUUCCUUGGAAGAAAGAAACUUGGAUGAGCAAAUAAGGCAAAUGCAGGAAAAGUUGAGAUACUUGAGCGAAGAUGAAAACAACCAAAAAUGGCUUUUUGUAACCGAAGAUGAUAUUAAAAUUUUGCCCUGUUUCCAGAAUGAAACCCUCAUAGCGAUCAAAGCACCCCAUGGGACCACCCUUGAAGUUCCAGAUCCUGAUGAGGCUGUUGAUUAUCCUCAACGGAGAUACAGAAUUAUACUUAGAAGUACAAUGGGUCCAAUUGAUGUUUACCUUGUCAGCCAAUUUGAGGAGAAGUUUGAAGAGAUGAAUGGAGUUGAACAAUCAACUAAUUUUCCUAUUGCCUCGAGUUCUGGGUCAAAUGUGAAUCCAGCAGUGGAGAGAUCCUCCUUGGCACACAGUGCACCACAAAUUGAAACUCAGACACAAGAGAGCCAUGAACUUAACUCAGUGUUUGGUGCUUCACAGGAAUAUGCUGGAGGAAUGACAAGGAUUAUCCCCUCAAAUAUUGAUAAUGAUGCAGACUAUUGGCUUUUAUCAGAUGCAGAUGUCAGCAUCACGGACAUGUGGAAGACAGAUUCCGGUAUGGAGUGGAAUGAUGUAAAUUUGCUUCAUGAAGAGUUGGAAAUGGCUGCAAUUGGUACACCAGGACCACAGACUCCAUCAUCUAGUGUUGCUGAUUUACACCCGGUUGCCAAUGUGCCACCUAGGUGAUACACACUUUGUAUAAUUUGUUGGACAAGCUGACUCUUGUCCUAUUCAGAUGUAAACUUUGGAAGAGGACAUGCAAGAAGAAUCAAGAUGGCGGGUCACUGGGAGCCAUGGCUCCAAUGUACCAGUUGCAGAAUUGCUUGACCUCGUCCACACUUUCUAGGUGAAAAAGCAUUCAUUUUUGCCAUUUCCAUGUGAAAUGUGGUGGAUUGUCUGAAAUGAGGUGAGUGACAUAGGCUAAACUUUAUGAAUACAACACAUGAACUGAGGCUGAAAUUUAUUGCUCAUCCUGAUCUCUGGUUAGAUAGCAAGACCAUAGGAUAAAGUUACAUUGCUGCUGAUUAAUACCUCAUCGAUUCUUCAAAAACAUAACAUAUGCUGCUAUGUAAAACUGAUAUUACAUUAUUCAUCAAAUGAAGCAGUGCAUCCAGAUAUGAAACUGGGUAUCUACAACUUGCAAAUACUAAAAUCCAACUUGUGGGCUGGUAUGAUCUUUCGAUUUCAUUUAGGCCACUAAAACGUCCGUCUACUUAGUAAUGUGGUUACCUCGUUCCGAAACUUAAUCCAGCAACAAGAUGGAUGAGAACUGAACACAACUCUGCUCACAAACUCAAAAGCUUGAGGACACUGUUCUGUUUGAUAAGCUAAUAACUCAUGGAGUAUUUUAAAUUACUUGGAUUGAGCUCAUCUUAAGUUUGAGCUAUCAAAAGCUUAUUUUUGAAGUGGUUAGAAUGAUAAUUCUGUACAAAUUGUAAUUUCUUUUGGAAUAUUGAUUGAUUGUAUCAAAAUAUGAAAGGUUGAUUAAUAUUAUGAGACUAUGUUAUUUGUUGCAAGA
Sesamum indicum (sesame) is the source of this 2483-nucleotide RNA transcript. It is a transcript of the gene named transcription factor E2FA, with no coding region annotated. NCBI's taxonomy places the organism in Eukaryota, Viridiplantae, Streptophyta, Magnoliopsida, Lamiales, Pedaliaceae. The record is from RefSeq and is a predicted model, not a curated record.